Molecule: long non-coding RNA, 290 nt
Filed under: Physcomitrium patens
Lineage: Eukaryota; Viridiplantae; Streptophyta; Bryopsida; Funariales; Funariaceae
Description: long non-coding RNA (PPAT_LNC012375)
Source: RNAcentral
CGUAAUAUAAGGUUGUCCUAAAAUCAACGGAUAAGAUGUUGUAUCUUCAACAAAGAAAUGUUGCUCCGUCGUAACAUCCCUAAUCCAAAUUUUGACAUCUGGACAAGCUCCAUAUGAUUCGCCCUGUGUGUUAUUAGCUGCUCGAAUUGCCCAUCCAUGUUCCAUAUCAAUUGGCCAUUUUUGCUUCUUAUAAAGAUCUUUAGACAUGAGAUUUAUUUAAGAACCAUGGUCGACUAAAGCAACUAUUGGUUCUUCUAUAUCUCUUACUUUCACCAAUACCUCAGUAGUUA